Molecule: ribosomal RNA, 497 nt
Filed under: uncultured bacterium
Lineage: Bacteria
Description: partial 16S ribosomal RNA
Rfam family: Bacterial small subunit ribosomal RNA
Source: RNAcentral
GAUGAACGCUGGCGGCGUGCCUAAUACAUGCAAGUCGAGCGAACAGACGAGGAGCUUGCUCCUCUGACGUUAGCGGCGGACGGGUGAGUAACACGUGGAUAACCUACCUAUAAGACUGGGAUAACUUCGGGAAACCGGAGCUAAUACCGGAUAAUAUAUUGAACCGCAUGGUUCAAUAGUGAAAGACGGUUUUGCUGUCACUUAUAGAUGGAUCCGCGCCGCAUUAGAUAGUUGGUAAGGUAACGGCUUACCAAGGCAACGAUGCGUAGCCGACCUGAGAGAGGGAUAGGCAGCAUGGGAGGGGGACCGGGGACAGGGGGACUGAGGGAGGGACCAGAAGCGAAUGGGAAGCAAGGGGGGAGAACUUUACGGAAUAACCGGAAGCGAGAUAUAAAGUCGUUGGGAGCGGAAAACUGGCUUACGGGGGAAAAACAAAUGUCGACGGUAACAUAGAGGGAGUGACGGUAAUUAAUAAGAAAGCACCGGCUAACUACGUG